This is a non-coding RNA of Pelobates cultripes (western spadefoot toad), 109 nucleotides long. The record is from the annotation of a GenBank genome assembly. NCBI's taxonomy places the organism in Eukaryota, Metazoa, Chordata, Amphibia, Anura, Pelobatidae.
CACUAAUACAAAUAUUAAAGAGAAUGGGUCCAAGUACAAAUCAUGAGGUACCCCACUGGUGACAAGUGGGGUACCUCAGGGAUCUGUACUUGGACCCAUUCUCUUUAAU